This 77-nucleotide transfer RNA is filed under the name Candidatus Pseudothioglobus singularis PS1. Its description in RNAcentral is "Candidatus Thioglobus singularis PS1 tRNA-Val". It matches the Rfam family "tRNA". Rfam says of the family: Transfer RNA (tRNA) molecules are approximately 80 nucleotides in length. The record is from RNAcentral. RNAcentral also lists the same sequence under 12 other names. Lineage: Bacteria; Pseudomonadati; Pseudomonadota; Gammaproteobacteria; Pseudothioglobaceae (SeqCode).
AGUCGCGUAACUCAGUUGGUUAGAGUGUCACCUUGACAUGGUGGAAGUCGGCAGUUCGAAUCUGCCCGCGACUACCA